This 445-nucleotide ribosomal RNA is filed under the name uncultured Coprococcus sp. RNAcentral describes it as "partial 16S ribosomal RNA". It matches the Rfam family "Bacterial small subunit ribosomal RNA", at positions 341 to 792 of the family's 1533-position model. The record is from RNAcentral. Lineage: Bacteria; Bacillati; Bacillota; Clostridia; Lachnospirales; Lachnospiraceae.
ACGGAAGGCAGCAGUGGGGGAUAUUGGACAAUGGAGGAAACUCUGAUCCAGCGACGCCGCGUGAGUGAAGAAGUAUUUCGGUAUGUAAAGCUCUAUCAGCAGGGAAGAAAAAGCGCAAGCAUUGACUGUACCUGACUAAGAAGCCCCGGCUAACUACGUGCCAGCAGCCGCGGUAAUACGUAGGGGGCAAGCGUUAUCCGGAUUUACUGGGUGUAAAGGGUGCGUAGGCGGCACGGCAAGUCAGAAGUGAAAUCCCAGGGCUCAACCCUGGAACUGCUUUUGAAACUGUCGAGCUAGAGUACAGGAGAGGUAAGCGGAAUUCCUAGUGUAGCGGUGAAAUGCGUAGAUAUUAGGAGGAACACCAGUGGCGAAGGCGGCUUACUGGACUGACACUGACGCUGAGGCACGAAAGCGUGGGGAGCAAACAGGAUUAGAUACCCUGGUA